GGGGUGUGCUCAAAGCAAGGGGCCUGAAGAAUCGCUCCUCCUUAUAACAUACCCAACAGGAAUCUGGGAUCAUUGUGAUGAGGUGCACAAAACCGUAGCCUCCCUAGGAACAAAUUCCCUAUAUUC
This is a small nucleolar RNA of Otolemur garnettii (small-eared galago), 126 nucleotides long. NCBI's taxonomy places the organism in Eukaryota, Metazoa, Chordata, Mammalia, Primates, Galagidae. The record is from Ensembl.